Long non-coding RNA from Gasterosteus aculeatus aculeatus (three-spined stickleback), 9436 nucleotides. The record is from Ensembl. Lineage: Eukaryota; Metazoa; Chordata; Actinopteri; Perciformes; Gasterosteidae.
GAGUGACAUAUCUUUUCUGAGUCCUAAAAUACAUUCAGUUUUGGGAUAGCCUACACUACGUCAGGGCGAAUCUCGCGACACACCAGCGACCACGGGCAGUGUCCUUCCAAGAAGACCCGACCCAAACUCGGAACGAGAGAAGAACUUCGCCAGAGAGGUGGCGGCACGGAUCUCUGGCUGUCUCUCUCAGUGGAUGUCCGCUCACCAUCUGAAAAUCAACCCCAACAAGACUGAACUACUACUCUUUCCGGGAAAAGAUUCUCCGACCCAGGACUUGAUGGUCAACUUGGGCAAUCAGUGUUAAUGCCCGCUUUGACUGCUAGGAACCUCGGCGUGACACUGGACAGCCAACUCUUCCUGACUGCAACAACAUGAUCCUGUAGAUACACACUCUACAACAUCAGGAGAAUAUGUCCCCUUCUCACUCAGAAGGCAGCGCAGGUACUGAUUCAGUACCUGCUAGCGCCAUUCAACCUCUGCAGUUCAUCCAGAUUGCAGCAGCUCGACUGGUCUUUCACCUUCCGAAAUUCUCCCACACUACCCCACUCCUCCGCUCUCUUUACUGGCUAGAUCACAACUCUUUGCUGUCCUUGCUCCGAAAUGGUGGAACGAGCUCUCCGAUGACACUAGGAUCGCAGAGAGCCUUCACAUCUUCUGCCACAAACUAAAGACACACCUCUUCAGACUCUGACUAAAAGACUAACAAAAAACACUACAUGGUUUAGGGCCAAAGUAUAUCACUGAUAUGCUUCCACUACAUAAGCCUUCAAGAUCACUAAGAUCUUCUGACACCAAUCUGUUAGUGAUUCCCAGAGUAAAUACAAAUCAUGGGAAAGCAUCAUUUAGUUACUACGCAACAAACAGCUGGAAUAAACUUCCUGAAGAUUUAAGACUUGCCCCAACUCUGACCACGUUUAAAACAAGACUGAAAACUUUUAUGUUCAGCUUCGCCUUCUGCAAAAUUUUACCUACAUUUUGCAUUUUAACCUCUGCCUUUAAUUAAACAAUUUAAAUAAGAUUUUAACUUAUAAUUUUAUUUGCUGUUUUUAAUUGUCUUUUAAUUCCUGCAUUUUAUUUUCACUUUAUUGUAUGAAAUGUUAUGAUGUGAAGCACUUUGAGUCUGCCUUGUGUAUGAAAAGCGCUAUACAAAUAAAAUUGCCUUGCCUUCUACACGUACGUGAAAUACAUGACCUAUUCUAUGGAUACAAAUGACAUAUAAUAAAAGUGUAUACAAAUAUUUCAGUGAUGACAAACAAUGAGAAAGCAAAAGGCAUGCACUCAAUCCAGUGUGUGGGGGAUUGCACAAUCUGAGAUGAGGUGCAGCUCAUCGCUGCCUCAUCUCGCGAGUCGCCUCUCUGUUUGAACACGACAUGGUCAAAUUCAGUGAUUUUGAUUAUAAAAAUGUUUGGAAUGAUUGUAAUCAUAUAAAAAUUACAUUACAAGCACAAAUCAGUAGAUACAUAUUAAUAUGUAUUUUAUUUUAUCAUUAUUUGUUUUUUACGUUUCAUGAUGACUUACGUUUAAUGAUGACGAGGCGAAAUUACGCGUAAAAACGUACCGUUACGUCCCGUUGGCAAAAAGAUAGAAAAAAUAGUUUACAACGGUACUUCAUGCCCGGCUUUCCAGUGAGAGAAAACGUUACAACACUUUAGUGAGAUACAACGUUACAACACUUCAGGAAGCUGCACUCGGUAAGUUUUACGGUAAGCAAUCUGUUUCUGAAGUAAUUAUUUAGGUGUUAAUGUUAACUUGUCAAGUUAGAUUUUUCUUUUAGCUUGCCAACAUGGUUAGCUAGCCAAGUUUUUAAAUGCCUUUUUAUACCUACUGUUAAUACUGUUAAUAAUAUGCCUGUUUAUUGCAAUGUAAAGCAUGUUUGAGUUGUAUGUAUGUAUGUAUGUAUGUAAGUAUGAAAGCCUAGCUAGCAAACUUACCACUCUCCCAAUUCAGUUUGCUUUCAGAAUGAGAGAUUUUGACGAGGAGGAUGCCAUUACUGUGGCUCAACUAGAGGCAGGAGUCAGGUGCAAAUGGUCAUGGUCCUGGCUGGAGCUAGACUCUAAAAGCAAUGUGAAGGGAGUAGAAUAUGUAUUCCCCCUCUCACAGUUUUUCAAAAAAAUUGACAAACCAGGCCAUGCCCAAUGCAGCCUAUGUUGCAAAGAGAUAAAUUAUUCUACCAAGGGCUCCCAUGCCCUUUUGGCACAUUGUAAAACGGAAAAACAUACCCAAAAGGUGGUGGGUAUUAUGACCACACCUAGCAUAUUAGUGUCAACAACUCAGGGCCAGUCACAGCAGGGACCAUCAAUGUCUGGCCCAUCACAGCAGAGCUCAUCAAUGCCUGGCCCAUCACAGCAGAGCUCAUCAAUGCCUGGCCCUCAGCAGAUGAGGGAAAGAGUGAAGGUGCCAGUACCACUCUUUGAAAGGGCAGCAAAUGCAGAAGUGGGUGUUAGUUAGCCAGUAUGUACCAGUUGUUCAUUAGAUCAUUAAAGUAUUAAGCCUAGAUAAGCAGACAAGGAAAACGUUUUUUUAUAAAGAAGUAUUAUUUACAUGUGCUUUGCAGGGGGUAUCAUAUAAAAUACUAAAACAUAUUUUUUUUCAGGCACUGGUUCUUGGAACCAUUGCAGAACAUUCCCUCCCCUUAUCUGUAGCUCCUGUCAUUGUUGAGCUUGCCCAGACACUGGCUCGGGAUAAACCAGCUUUGACGGGCAUGAAGCUGUCCCGGACUGCUGCCUCAUACAAGUUGGUCCAGGGCCUGGGCCACACCUUCUCAGAGAGGACGUUUGAGAGCAUCCGGUCAACACCAUUGUCAAUUAACUUAGAUGAGAGCACAUCAAACUCCAAUAAGAAGGUGUUGUCCAUUCUUGUGUGCUAUUUCAAUCAGGAGCUGAAGCAUGUGGUAGUUGAACACCUUUGCUCCAUUGAAAUCCUAAAGGGCACUGCUCUAUAUAUUUGGAAUUGGCCUUAGUGACCUUUUUCAAUGACCAUAAAAUUCAUUUUGCCAACCUUAUCAGUAUGAUGAUGGACUCCUGUAAGGUCAUGCGUGGGAGCAAGUCUGGGCUGGAGACCAGAAUCAGAGGGACGCACUGCCAGAACCUCUUGGAUGUUGAUGGAGAUUCUUGCCACCACAUCCACAAUGCCGCCAAACAGUUUGCUGCCCCCUUCGGCCACCACCUCGAGCAGCUCUUCGCUGACCUUCACACAGACCACCAGUGGGCUUCAGACCAGUUGAAAUACCUGAUUGAGAUCUGUGACUUUAUGGGCAUUCAUGGAACGAACCCACAACGGUUUGUGGCACAUCGGUGGCUUUCGGCUUAUGAUGUGUGGAUCAGCACCCGCCGAAUGUUGCCUGCAUUCCAGGUCCUGUACUUUGGAUUCCUCAGUCAGGCAGACAAGACCCUUUAUGAAGACGUCCUACAGGAGAUCUACAAGGACCGUAGUGUUGGUGAGCGGGCAAAGGUCAGGAUCCAAUAUUUCCAUCAGGACCUCUCCAAAAAAGGAAUGACACAAGUUGGUAAGGACAGAAAAGGGAGGGUGGUGAAGAAACUCUGGUUCGAGAGUCUCAACACUAACCUCUAGCUGAGCGUUUACCUAGGCGUCCAUGACAUCCUCAAGGAGUAUGUGAUAGUGUUCCAGGGUAGCCAAACCCUUGUCCACAAACUGCAUGACAAGCAGCUUGGAGUGGUCACGAAUUUCAUGCCCUGCUUUAUCAAGGCUGAGCAUCUUCACACCACUCCAAAGAAGCUCAUGGAGAUGGAGUUCAGGGACAAAAUGCUGCCUCUCAGGGAGCUUUAUGUCGGACCGGUGGCUGAGAAACUGAAGGCAGAAAAUCCAAGUCCAAUCCAUUGUGCUGCAGGUUCUCGACACAGUGAAGACUGCAUACAUGUCAACAGCAGCCUACAUGCAGAAAAAGCUGCCACUAAACAGCAGGACCCUACAGGCACUGUCUGCUCUGGACCCAUUGGUGAGAGGCCACUCAGAGACUGGCAUACUGCUGAAGCGGCUGUCAGGGCCAGGGAUGAUGAGCCACUUGGUGCCACCCCAGUGUGACGUGCCACUGGAAGUGGUGAAAUUCAAUGUGGAUUCCACCCUUCCCCUGUACAUUGAUGGUGACAACAUGGUAAACUGGUGGGCAGAUGUAAUGGACACUGGCAGGUACCCAGGCCUAAACCACGUGGUUUGAGGGGCUCUCUCCAUUUUCCACGGACCCAUGGUAGAGUCAUCAUUUAGUGCCAUGAGAGACAUAAUUACCAACAAAAGCACUAAAAUGAGCAUGGCAACCUACAAUGCUAUCCAGACAACCAAAUAUGCCCUCAGGUCCAGGAGUCAGACAGCCAUCCAGAUGUUCAAGAGAGAUGACAGGAAGCUCUCCAGGGUCGAUAAGGUCCUCUGCAGGAACAUCCACACUGCAGGAACAACAGACAAGGCUCGCAGACAAAAGGCCUUGUUGAAGUAAAAAGAGAGGCAUGAAGAGUUUGAGUGCCAGCCAUCAACCAGUGGUGAGCAAAGCUCACUGCAGUGAAGGAGGACAGGCAAGCCAAAUUGAGGCACGUAACCGCUCAAAAGCGGAAAAAAGCACUGGAAGUACUGGUACUGCCUUUUUAACAGUGUACCUGACAUGUUUAUAUUAUUUUGUUUUGUUUUGUGUGUAAUUCAAUAUUGUAUACAGAUGUUUAAUUAAAUAUUUAGUUGUGUUUCUGUCAAGGAAUGCUGGGUUGGGGUGGGGGAGCCAAAUGGGAAGGGAGUUAUGUAGGAAGUAUUUCAAAUGUUGAUUCUGUGAGUUAGUUGUAAAAUUCUAAUAAACAGAAGUAAAAAAAAAAAGAACUGGCUUCAUUUCUCAUUUCCCUUUCCCUUGUUCGGAAAAGGAUAAAAGACAAGGUAAAGGGGUUGUGAAAGUUGAUAACCAUCCGAGCUAAAUAGCCGCAGCUUAUUUGUGUUUUACUGGAAUAACAUUGAAGCAUAUGCAAAAAAUACAUAUAUUCCCCGAGGGGUUUGGAUCUUUGUCACCUUUUUCAUCCCUGAUGAGUUUGCACCCCUGUAUACAAAAUCAUAAUCUUAGUGAAACUACAUUGAAGUUUUUUUAAAAUAAGACAAGGCAGGCAACAAUUGGAAUUGGCUAAGACUAAGCCUUUAACCAAGCCCUUUCAAUGUGAGUAUUAUUGUAUACAGUUCAGGCUUGAACGAGGCCUGAGUUAGAGUCGAGACACGAGUAUGACCGAAUCCCUAAGACCUAAAUGUGCCUCUUCUGCUCUCCUCACUGGCUCUUUACCUUUUUUCAACCAAAGUCUGCUGACUAGUUGGUCAUUGCUAGAUGGUCUUCUGUGAUGGAUCUGCCAUGAGCCUUAGCAAAUCACAACAUGAAUUAAGUCCAUCGUCACAAAACAUGGAACAAAGUGGUCUUCAAUUGUGACAUUUUUUAUUAAAUCACGCAAGAUAAAACGUGAACAAGCCUCAUUAGAGAGGAAAAAAGAUGCAAACAUUGUCUUCUAUUUAGGUUACCUUAUGGGAAAAAUCCAGUAUACAAAAAAAGGACAUAAUUGUGCUUUUACCGUGACAAGGACAAAAUUCAACCCCCCCCUUUCCCAGGGAACCUUUAAAUCUCCAUAUACAAUAAAGACAUACUGGUGCUGAACACAAUAAUUUAACUCAAUUUAGAGCCAUGGAUAAACUUCUUCGUCAUUGCAAUAUUAGACAGAAUUACCUUGAUCAGGACAUCAAAUGUUCCAAUGUUCCAUCUAAUGCAUCACAGUUGGUACAGUCCAUUUUCCUUUAGAAUUCCCAUAAAGCAGAUCAACUUCCUGUCUUAAUCUCUUUGUCACCCAGCUGGUCCAUUCCUACAGCCUACCAGAUACUAAACAUUUCAAGUUAUUUUAACUUCAAAAUGAACUUUAACAAUUGUGCUGUUUUUAUAAAUUGCAUUUUAGCCAAAGUGAAAUUUUAACUGGUUAAUGUUUUAACCUUACGCCAAAUGACUAAACCCGUGCACUGACCAACCUUAAACCAACCCCAUAUAAUGUCCUUUUUAUUUAUUAAUUAAAGCAAAGAUGAAUGUAUAGGAUUUGUGUGGCACACCUUCCAAUUUCUUCUCACAGCGGUUAGUGAUGUUAUUUUGCAGGAUGCUUUUUCUUUUACGCUCCGGAACUAUCAAAGCAUUUUGGGUCAGCGUACAUACCUUUGGAUACUUUCUUGAAGGGGUCGGAGUGCUCAGGGAUCCUGUCUCUCCUUUUAGGAACAGAUUCAGACACCAUGGAUUCAAGUAGGUUUUCCACAGGUCUGUUUCAGGUCACAUCUUGGAGCUCUGACAACCGUGACGGUACUUGUUACUGGUAUAAACAAAUCUGUGGUCUAGUAUGGAUGGUUUGCAAGGUCUGUGAUUGAAGUGCGUUUUGGAGUAUGUGAGUAGUGUUCAGAAGAAUGAACUAUCCCUACAUCCUCUUCGUCCUCUCUCACCUUUCCUUUCUCAUCCUACUAUUCUCGCCCUCAAACACAUGCUAUAUGAAUUCCUUCUUAUACUCUUUCUGUCUUUCUGAUCUCUUGGUUCUCCUCCUCUUCAUCUCUUCCUUCUCACUGUCGUAAUCCUUCCCUUCUUUGUUCCUGACCUACUAAUCCUACCCAUAAAUUCUCCCUUUAUCUGUAAAUCAAUCUUUUUUCCCUUUACACCACUUGCCUUUCACCUCAUUUUCUCUCCUAGGUUCACCCUUAAUUUUCUUGUUAACCUGUGUCUGCGUGUAUGAUUGGCAUGGGAACUCUGCUAUAAAGACCUUCACUGCACAUGAGAUUAUCUCCCCUUUAGGCAUUAAAUUAUCCACAGCAAAACACACAUACGCAAACACACCCGCAAAUGUAAAACUAUCCCUAUAAAGUCUAUAAAGGUGACUGUUUCCACAGUGACACUGUUUCUUUAUUUGUUCUUUCAACACAUGCACACUCAGAAACACACACAGAGGGAGCAAAUAAGAACUACUGUAUGUCAGAUGUUUACACUUUCGUGUGUGUGUGUGUGUGUGUGUGCAUGCAUGCGUGCGUGAGGAAGACUAACCACCUGUUCAACAACAGAGCUGAGGACACACUGGGGGGGUGUCCGUUUGUGUGUGUCCCUUCACCUGUCAAUAUGAAGAUAAUUGAUGAGACAGCCCAGCAAUAGACCUGAGGGACGGGUCCUUUCACACACACACACAUUUUACGCCCCACAACUUACACUGCUGGAGCAUUUGAAAGGUGGAACUUCAGUCAAAUUUUCUAGUUUCUGAAACCACUUCAGACCGAAAACAUGUAGCGGCCAAUUUUGGGCUAUUUGUUUCAUUAAAAUGUUUUUUUAGGCUGGUAAUAAUUACUUUAAAGCCAUUUCUGUUGACAGAAUCCAUUUUGACUUUUGGCAUUUUCAAUUAUUAAAAAAAUUGUCGGUUUUUCCCACUCCUUGGCUUUGGCAGGUCCCUUAAUUCCGCUGCUAACGCUGUUGAAUAUGAUCAACUUUCUUUUAUGGUUCUCAAAAUGUAUGACUUUAAUGAAGGACAUAUGAUGCAAUACUUGUAGCCUUAUUCGGUGUUACCUUAUUAGGUAACACCAAAUAAGGCUACAAGUUAGUUAAGUGGAGGUAACAGAACCACUCAGGGUUAGGAAAAGAGCCACAUUGAAAUAGUGGAAAGGAUGACCAGUCAUUAGUAGACUUGCUUCUGACAUGCGCAUUAACCACAAGCUCGUUGCGUAAUGUUUCAACAGUCAGCCCUCGCGCCAUGCGCUCAGGGGAGAUCCUACUUCAUCCUUAAAAUAUUCGGCAAGUAACAAAAGUUUCUUUGAAAAUAUAAUGUGAAACUGUAGAGCUAGAAAUGAAGCCAUGCAGGGUUAAUCGUUAAAUAAUUGCAAAAAUGCAAAUUAGUCUGGUCCUAGUUAGGUUUAUACUCCCUAUAGCUACAACCUUUGUCGAUUGUCAUUGGUAAAAAGCCGUGUUUAUUUGUGUGGUAUGAAUUGAGCAGUCACCCGUGCCCAUUUUAACGCCCAACACGAGCAGCUGUGUGCUUUUUUCAACGUGGGUAAAUCUGGAAAAAAUCGGUCAAAGCUAACGUUACUUUAAGAGUUUGUGUGAAGAGUAGCUGGUCAGACAGGACUCCAAACAAGUGAUGCCAGCGUGCACUGUGGGAGUCUGUCAACCGUCAUCUGCCAUCUGGUAAAAAUGCCCGUCAACGUUAUCUAUUUUAUGGUUUAAGACUUGCGUAACUAUUAUUACUUUAAUUAUUGAAUAGCCAGAUUAUUUUCUUUUGUGCCAAAAUCAAACUAAUAAUUUUAGAGUGAUGCUAAAAAGUUAUUUCUAAUAUUCCUUGUUUUCUAUGAAAGAGGUUUUUGUUUAUUUGCUGAUUGCCAUAAGUUGUCUGAAUUUUGCAUUCAUCAGCAUGUUUUUGUUGACAGCCGAAGACAUUAAUCAAUAUCUCUCUUCUUUUUAGGCCCUGAAUGUGGAGGUGCAAACAGUGCUCUGAGACCGUUUCGACGAGAAUCCCAAGCAUUGAAGUAAGGGGGGAAUGCAGGGUAUGCGGGUAUGCUUCUACUUAAAUGAAGAUCCUGACAAACUUGUUAAAAAGUACAUGUUUGAGGAUGUUGCUGGAGUGGACGAAAUGGAGGAAGUGGUUUUGGCCAUCUACGUUGUGGAACAUGAGGGAGCAGAGGCAACCGAUGAACCUGAGGAUAUUGGCAUCAUCGUUGAAGAGUGUACAGUGCUGGAAUACCUCAGAAAAGUGGCAAAUGGCUGCGCAUCCCUGUUUGGUGUGAUCUACAGUUUAAACUUGAGCUAUCCCAAGGACCUUUGAUACACUUUCAAGUUUAUUCAGAAAGUUUGGAUGGGAUUGGAUGGGAACAAGCUCUCCACUAAGGUCCUCAAAAAAAAACUGCAUGAGGAAAAUGCCAUCAAGGCUGGAUAAGAAUUUCUGUUCAUCCUCACACAGGAAAGUGCUUUUGCACUGUGGACUGAUGCUGAACACAUUGUUUGUUGGUUUGCUGUUGUGUUAUUAGACGCUGUCACUAUGUUUUUUCACUGUAUGUUUUUUUAAAAGUUGGACAUUUUAUGUUGACAUUUUAAAUAGCAUAAACUCCAUGUUGACUAGUUCAUAAAUUCCAAAUUUGAUGAUUCUGGUAAUGUUUAAGUUCUCAACCUAAACUUGUUAUUUCAGAAGAUACGUAUUUAAUAGAGAACAGAAUCACUGUUUUACUGUUUCAGCUUCACAGUGUGAGGUUAAAACCAUAAGAUUAUUAUCUAUAUAGAUAUUCAUAGAUUUGUUUUCAUUAUUUCUUAUUGGUACAUUUUCAGUUUUUAUAAAUUUGUGUGUUGUACACAUGCAUAUUAUACACAGGUGAAUAGUCCCACCUGCUUCAAACCUGAUAAUAAAGGUUUAAGUGAAUUUCAGCAAAAACUUAAUUUGUAUUUAUUUGACUCAUUUAUUUAAACUGAACAACUAAG